GACGUAGGGCGCGAGCGUUGUCCGGAUUUAUUGGGCGUAAAGAGCUCGUAGGCGGCUCGUUGCGUCGGCUGUGAAAACCCGCAGCUCAACCGUGGGCUUGCAGCUGAUACGGGCAGGCUUGAGUUCGGUAGGGGAGAACGGAAUUCCUGGUGUAGCGGUGAAAUGCGCAGAUAUCAGGAGGAACACCGGUGGCGAAGGCGGUUCUCUGGGCCUGUACUGACGCUGAGGAGCGAAAGCGUGGGGAGCGAACAGG
Molecule: ribosomal RNA, 253 nt
Filed under: uncultured bacterium
Lineage: Bacteria
Description: partial 16S ribosomal RNA
Rfam family: Bacterial small subunit ribosomal RNA
Source: RNAcentral